RNAcentral lists this ribosomal RNA (379 nucleotides) under uncultured eukaryote. RNAcentral's name for it is "partial 18S ribosomal RNA". It matches the Rfam family "Eukaryotic small subunit ribosomal RNA", at positions 592 to 976 of the family's 1831-position model. The record is from RNAcentral.
CAAUAGCGUAUAUUAAAGUUGUUGCGGUAAAAGCUCGUAGUUGGAUUUCUACCGAAGAUAGCCGGUCGGGUCUUCGACCUUGUAUCUGGUUUUGUCUUUGGUAUCCUCAUAGGGAACGUUUCUGCGCUUUAUUGCGUGGUGCGGUAUCUAUGACUUUUACUUUGAGGAAAUUAGAGUGUUCACGGCAGGCAAACGCCUUGAAUAUAUUAGCAUGGAAUAAUAACAUAGGAUCUUCGUCCUAUUUUGUUGGUUUCUAGGGCUAAGAUAAUGAUUAAUAGGGAUAAUUGGGGGCAUCUGUAUCAACGCGUCAGAGGUGGAAUUCUUGGAUUGCGUUGCGACAAACUACUGCGAAAGCAUUUGCCAAGGAUGUUUUCAUUGA